RNAcentral lists this ribosomal RNA (167 nucleotides) under uncultured bacterium. RNAcentral describes it as "partial 16S ribosomal RNA". It matches the Rfam family "Bacterial small subunit ribosomal RNA", at positions 1334 to 1500 of the family's 1533-position model. The record is from RNAcentral.
GCUAGUAAUGGCAGGUCAGCAUACUGCCGUGAAUACGUUCCCGGGCCCUUGUACACACCGCCCGUCACACCAUGAGAGUUGGGAAUACCCGAAGCCUGUGAGCUAACUAAUAGAGGCAGCAGUCGAAGGUAGAAUCAAUGAUUGGGGUGAAGUCGUAACAAGGUAAC